This 25-nucleotide small RNA is filed under the name Arabidopsis thaliana (thale cress). RNAcentral's name for it is "ATSL113920". The record is from RNAcentral. Lineage: Eukaryota; Viridiplantae; Streptophyta; Magnoliopsida; Brassicales; Brassicaceae.
AUACAUGCUAGAAUGACCAUUUUCA